This 875-nucleotide ribosomal RNA is filed under the name Acinetobacter junii. RNAcentral describes it as "bacterial SSU rRNA". It matches the Rfam family "Bacterial small subunit ribosomal RNA", at positions 68 to 936 of the family's 1533-position model. The record is from RNAcentral. Lineage: Bacteria; Pseudomonadati; Pseudomonadota; Gammaproteobacteria; Moraxellales; Moraxellaceae.
GGAGGAUGAGGUGCUUGCACCUUAUCUUAGCGGCGGACGGGUGAGUAAUGCUUAGGAAUCUGCCUAUUAGUGGGGGACAACAUUCCGAAAGGAAUGCUAAUACCGCAUACGUCCUACGGGAGAAAGCAGGGGAUCUUCGGACCUUGCGCUAAUAGAUGAGCCUAAGUCGGAUUAGCUAGUUGGUGGGGUAAAGGCCUACCAAGGCGACGAUCUGUAGCGGGUCUGAGAGGAUGAUCCGCCACACUGGGACUGAGACACGGCCCAGACUCCUACGGGAGGCAGCAGUGGGGAAUAUUGGACAAUGGGGGGAACCCUGAUCCAGCCAUGCCGCGUGUGUGAAGAAGGCCUUAUGGUUGUAAAGCACUUUAAGCGAGGAGGAGGCUACUGAGACUAAUACUCUUGGAUAGUGGACGUUACUCGCAGAAUAAGCACCGGCUAACUCUGUGCCAGCAGCCGCGGUAAUACAGAGGGUGCGAGCGUUAAUCGGAUUUACUGGGCGUAAAGCGUGCGUAGGCGGCUUUUUAAGUCGGAUGUGAAAUCCCCGAGCUUAACUUGGGAAUUGCAUUCGAUACUGGGAAGCUAGAGUAUGGGAGAGGAUGGUAGAAUUCCAGGUGUAGCGGUGAAAUGCGUAGAGAUCUGGAGGAAUACCGAUGGCGAAGGCAGCCAUCUGGCCUAAUACUGACGCUGAGGUACGAAAGCAUGGGGAGCAAACAGGAUUAGAUACCCUGGUAGUCCAUGCCGUAAACGAUGUCUACUAGCCGUUGGGGCCUUUGAGGCUUUAGUGGCGCAGCUUACGCGAUAAGUAGACCGCCUGGGGAGUACGGUCGCAAGACUAAAACUCAAAUGAAUUGACGGGGGCCCGCACAAGCGGUGGA